Molecule: transfer RNA, 72 nt
Organism: Ovis aries (sheep)
Lineage: Eukaryota; Metazoa; Chordata; Mammalia; Artiodactyla; Bovidae
Rfam family: tRNA
About the family: Transfer RNA (tRNA) molecules are approximately 80 nucleotides in length. Their secondary structure includes four short double-helical elements and three loops (D, anti-codon, and T loops).
Source: Rfam
UCCCUAGUGGCUCAGUUGGUAAAGAAUUUGCCUGCAAUAUAGGAGACCCAGGUUCGAUCCCUGGAUUGGGAA